This 4191-nucleotide long non-coding RNA is filed under the name Mytilus galloprovincialis (Mediterranean mussel). Lineage: Eukaryota; Metazoa; Mollusca; Bivalvia; Mytilida; Mytilidae. The record is from RNAcentral.
UGUAGAUUAAACAAUAUUGGACACAAAGUAAGUUAGCAAAAACUAUUUAUUUACCAGGUCAUACGCGUACUUAUAUUUCAUCAUUAUAUCAAAAAUGUUAAAAGGACUCUGGCUGUUCGGCUUAUACGAUAUCAAUCAAUGCAGUUGAAAGGGCGACUUGUGGCAAGUAUUGCAAACAUACAAAUGGUGACAACAUGUAAAUUAAGGCAACAUUUAUUUACCGAUUUACCGAUGUUCAAAGAUGUAUAUCACUUAAAGAAUUUCUAUGUCAUUUUGUGUCCGGCUGAUUCGUAUCAAUAGAAAUCUUAUCAUAUUCUCUUUAUACUAUAAAGAAAAUAAAAGGGAACCAUAGUAAAGAAAUUCAAUAAUACUCAAUUAAAUUGGUCUAAAGGUGAAUAAACGGUUUAGUCUUAGUUGCAUGAUUUUUUUUUAUUAGUUGUUAGUGGCUUUGAACUAGCUGUCAGAUAACUGCGAGUACUCUCAGAUCUGUUCAUUGUGUCUUUUUGUGUCGGGAUGUAUAAUUACUGUGCCACGUCCAAUUUUAUUUUUGUCCAUCUGAUGAGUUAAGCCUUUUUCAACUGAUUUUUAUAUGUUCUUAUGUUGUACUGUUAUACCACUGCCCCAGGUUAGGGGGAGGGUUGGGAUCCCGCUAACAUGUUUAACCCCGCCACAUUAUUUAUGUAUGUGCCUGUCCCAAGUCAGGAGCCUGUAAUUCAGUGGUUGUCGUUUGUUUAUGUGUUACAUAUUUGUUUUCCGUUCAUUUGUUUUUUACAUAAAUAAGGCCGUUAGUUUUCUCGUUUGAAUUGUUUUACAUUGUCCUAUCGGGGCCUUUUAUAGCUGACUAUGCGGUAUGGGCUUUGCUCAUUGUUGAAGUCCGCACGGUGACCUAUAGUUGUUGGUGUCUGUGUCAUUUUGGUCUUUUGUGGAUAGUUGUCUCAUUGGCACUCAUACCACAUCUUCUUUUUUAUAUAACGCCAUGGAUAAAAAAAGAAAAAGACUGACAGAGAAACAACAGCACUUAAGACACAACACAGAAAAAUAAAGACUAAGCAACACGAUCCCAACCAAAAACUGGGGAUUAUCUCAGGUAAAAUGCUUAAAGACAGCUUAACUCUGCAAUUUUGUAAGAUUUUGGCAUAUUUUUAUAUUUAUAUAUUAAAGUAUGAUACGAACAUUCUUAGCAAAAUUUAAUUAAAGCUUUGUAUUGUGUUUUAAUACAAAUUGUUUCAUUUUGGAUAAAGGCGUUUAAAUGUAUUUAACUUCAAAAACGUUUUUGUUGUUCAACUUCCUGUAGCUUUGAACAACUUUCUGUUUAAAAUCAUAUGAAAGUAAAACAGGGAAAUAUACCCUUCCUCUUUGUACUAGAUCGUUUCACAAUGUUGACUUGUUAAAAAUCUUGUUAUCAAGGUUUAUUGCGGAUGCAUCUUAGCUUUUUUUUACUGUUUAAAUUGUUUUACAUGGUCAUAUCAGGGUAUUUUGUGGCAUUUCUAUGUCAUUUUGUCUCCGGCAGAUUCGUAUCAAUAGAAAUCUUAUCAUAUUCUCUUUAUACUAUAAAGAAAAUAAAAGGGAACCAUGGUAAAGAAAUUCAAUAAAACUCAAUUAAAUUGGUCUAAAGGUGAAUAAACGGUUACUGACAUACAAGUAUUCGUCAUACAUGGUGUCAACCCCUAAUUCAUACAGCCUACAAAUCACACUUCCAAAUCAAUCCAUCAAGACAUUGCAAAUGUUGUGUUUUAUUCACUCUCGCUUGUCUAGGGUAUUUUUUGUUGUUGCUAUUUUUGUCAAAUAAACUGUUGACACAGAGAUGUGUCGCGCUUUUAUAUAUUUGAUAGUAUAAUGCAAAUGAUGAAAUCAAAAUGGCAAUACAUUAACAUUUAAAAUUAUGAAAAACAUUCAAGUUCAAUUAACCAUGAAUGAAAUGACAAGUUUAAUAUACGUGCCCAUUAGCUUAUGGUCAAUUCUAUUCUAAUCUUAUAAAGAAUUUUAAAACAACAAUUAAAACAAACAACAUUUAUAACCUAAAUUUCUCAGUCGGAGCUCAGGUAUAUAAAUGAAUUAAUGAAUAUUUUGAUAUAGAAGUGCAACCUGAAUUAUAACAAACAAUUACAUCUAUAUAUAUUAGUAAUUUUCAGCCAGCCAAAUAGGCUUAUGAUGCACUGUACAUUGUUUAUCAUUAUUGAAAAUAAAUGUAUGUAAGGCUAAGUCAUCUCUACGCCAAAACAACUGAAUAAAACUGGUUGCAAAUACAACAAUAUUUUAAACAUCUAGAUUAAUGCAAAUUAAGCCCCGAACAAAAUACUAGUAUUAUAAAUCAUAUUACAUAAACUGUUAUAUAACGGAACUAGAUAUUGCCAUUUUAUUUGUAAAAUCAACAUAUACCCACAACAUUUACAAAAGAGGAAAUCCUAAACAAUGGCAUGUCUGCUCUAUGUACCGUUGGAAAUUCGACAAAGUAUGAAGAAACUUCUGUCACUGAACUGGAUACCAAAAAUUCAUAGGUGUCUUUGCAAGUAACGUUAUAUUGCUGGUGUUAUCAAGUUCUCAACGAAAUUUUGUCUAUCCUAGCUUCAAAGAGUAUAUAAAUCUAAGUAUUUCCCCUUUUGUAAUAAUAUGAAAAUAUUUGACUUCUCUACUUUUCACCCAAGUAUUUUACAUUCAUAACUUACAGAGUUAGUGAAUAGUCAAAUGUUGUUUCAUUGUUGGUUUAUGGAUUACUGGUAUAAAUGUCUUAAUUUAGAAAAGGAUAAAUCAAACUUUGUUAUCAAAUUUCCUUUCUGAAACUGACGUCAUUAAGAUUCUUGAUUUGUAUUUGAUAUUCAUAUUUGUUACUUUUUGAGAACGUAUUUUUCAACAAAUAAUUGACAUCUCUAUCUAAACCAUCUGUAUUCCUCUUGUUGUCGACAUUAUCCUUCAUUGAAGCGAGACAGAUUUCAAAUAUGAGUUUCAAAACUGAAAAUGAGCUACCAUAACCUUUACUUCACGUUCAGCUAUCAAAAUGAUGUUAACUUACUAAAUAAUUCAAAUUCAAUGACUAUUCUAGUCACAUCUAUCCGAUCGACCUUGAAUUAAAGGAUACUACCCAUACAGUUCAGUCUGCUUCGUAUCCUGACUUUCAUCUAGCAUCUCAAAAUAAGGGCACAUUGGUAACAAAACUUUACGACAAAAGGUAUGAUUCCAGCUUCCCAAGUGAGAACUUUCCAUUCCUAUGUAACGAAAUUCCAGCAGCUCAUACAUAUAUAUAUAUCUCCAAGUUUAUGCAAUAUUUCAGGGUUUGCGUUUCUUAUCAUGAUUUACUUGAUAGGAGGUACCUGUUUACAAAAAAGGCUAUUUGACUAAGGGAUCGAAUUUAUUUAGUAUAGGUCACAGAUAACCACUUGUAAGUUCUGAUGAUUAUGUUCACAAUCCCCUUAUCUUGCACUCGAACUUGACGUCACCAACUGAGAUUUAUUACCAAUUAAUACUUGCAAUGAGCAACAUGACGGGUGCAACAUAUAUCAAAUGUUUGUUCAGAUUCGUAUAACUUGGUCUUUAUAUACCUAUGAAAUGUUGUGUAAGCAUUCUUUUCGACUUUCGUUUUUUACCAUGGCGGUCAGUUAUACUUCGAUUUUUAAGUUUUUAAUAUCACCUUGAUAUAUUCUGUCUCUCUAAUCCGUCUUUUAUAUAUGUAUAUACUAAAUCAAAUAUGAAAAGGAACGGAAAAAUAGUUCAGCUUUCUUUAAUUUUGUAGUUCAUUGUAUAUUUAUAGGUGGUAACUAGAUCUUCAAAAUGAAUAAAGCCAAAGACUGGUGUAGAGCAAUAUUUAUUCUUCCGCUGACAGCGGGGAACUGCAAAAAGGAAACCCACCAAACUUCAAUUUCCCAUGACGGAAGUAUUGCUGGAAUAAUCGUGCUAACCAGUUUAGUAGUCAUGCUAGCUGAAAUAAUGUACAUUUGCAACACCUUUGAGCAAAAAAGCAGAACAGCACCCGAAAUAUCCAGACCACUUCUGAUUGUACUAAACUGUCUCGGAAUUUUGUCCUGUAUCUCAGUUGGGAUUCGAGAACAAAUCAAAAAGAGAUAUAUAUUAGAUACUGACACUCAUGAUAAAAGCAAAUCCCUUAAGUUAAAAUUUUUAUGUUUAUUUUGUUUUGGCUGUGUAGUAUAUCGUAUCCUGAAGAUAGCUUUCCAUGUUGAAUGCAAGGUGUUUGUCCGU